Molecule: ribosomal RNA, 459 nt
Filed under: uncultured bacterium
Lineage: Bacteria
Description: partial 16S ribosomal RNA
Rfam family: Bacterial small subunit ribosomal RNA
Source: RNAcentral
CCUACGGGCGGCAGCAGUGAGGAAUAUUGGUCAAUGGCCGCAAGGCUGAACCAGCCAAGUCGCGUGAGGGACGACGGUCCUAUGGAUUGUAAACCUCUUUUGUCAGGGAGCAAAAAACGCCACGUGUGGCGUUAUGCGAGUACCUGAAGAAAAAGCAUCGGCUAACUCCGUGCCAGCAGCCGCGGUAAUACGGAGGAUGCGAGCGUUAUCCGGAUUUAUUGGGUUUAAAGGGUGCGCAGGCGGAAUGUUAAGUAAGUGGCUAAAUGUCGGGGCUCAACCCCGUUGUGCCGUUAAUACUGGAGUUCUUGAGUGAGCGAGAGGUAUGCGGAAUGAGUGGUGUAGCGGUGAAAUGCUUAGAUAUCACUCAGAACUCCGAUAGUGAAGGCAGCAUACCAGCGCGCGACUGACGCUGAUGCACGAGAGCGUGGGUAUCGAACAGGAUUAGAUACCCGAGUAGUC